This 301-nucleotide ribosomal RNA is filed under the name uncultured bacterium. RNAcentral's name for it is "partial 16S ribosomal RNA". It matches the Rfam family "Bacterial small subunit ribosomal RNA", at positions 509 to 807 of the family's 1533-position model. The record is from RNAcentral.
CAGUAGCCACGGUAAUACGAAGGGUGCAAGCGUUACUCGGAAUUACUGGGCGUAAAGCGUGCGUAGGUGGUUGUUUAAGUCUGCUGUGAAAGCCCUGGGCUCAACCUGGGAAUUGCAGUGGAUAUUGGGCAACUAGAGUAAGGUAGAGGAUAGUGGAAUUUCCGGUGUAGCAGUGAAAUGCGUAGAGAUCGGAAGGAACAUCUGUGGCGAAGGCGACUAUCUGGGCCAUUACUGACACUGAGGCACGAAAGCGUGGGGAGCAAACAGGAUUAGAUACCCCUGUAGUCCCUGUCUCUUAUAC